This 1353-nucleotide long non-coding RNA is filed under the name Cyanistes caeruleus (blue tit). RNAcentral describes it as "lncRNA (ENSCCEG00000010689.1)". Lineage: Eukaryota; Metazoa; Chordata; Aves; Passeriformes; Paridae. The record is from RNAcentral.
GUUCUUCAGAUGACUUCAGACAAAAUCAGGAGUGAUUUAGCAGAACUGAUUCUGCCCUGAGGAGGAGAAAGGAGUAACAGACCAGGGAGGAUCUUUCCCCACUCUUUUCUGUGAUUCUGUUCCUAUUUCGAUCCUCUGGGACCCAAAACUGUGCAGCAUUUUGCAUCUCAGAGUCAGCCUGAGAGAAGGUUACUGAAUGGAAAACAAGUUCGCCCAAGAAUAUGGGAGAUGAGUUUGCAGAAGGUGCUGGAGUAUUACUUGACAUCAUUAACUUGUGCUUUUAAUCAUAAGAAAUGUACCCGAGAAACCUGAGGCAUCCUUCUCUCCCCUGCUAAAAAAUGGCGUAAGAGCAUGUAAGAAAAAUGACUUCAGCCCCUUACGCCCCAUCCCUGUCACGGGUGCAAUGGGGUAACAGAUGAACAACUCAAUAUUUUCUUUAGAGCUUCCCUUCUCUUCCCACGGGCAGCCACGUGUCCCCCUGUCCCUGAAUUACACAGAGAGGACAGCCCUUAGCUGCCACCUCUCUGCUUCUGCCAGAGCUGUGCCAAUUAAAGAGACUUUUCUGUAUUUAUUAUGGAAGGGUUACUUACACCCAGUGACAUUUCUGCUGGCUGCUGUUAAAAUCCUCUCCGCUCUAAAGUCAGCAGCUUCAUCUCAGAGUGACAAACAAAACUGCUGAAGAAAAUGUCUCCUGAAGUGUUGAAUGUAGAAUUGUUUAAUGGUAAAUAAUACAGCCUGCAAAGUUAUGCAGGGAAAAUGGACUAAAACGAGAAAUCACAUUUAAAGUUCUUUGGGUUUUUGCUCUUCGCAGUUACAGGAAUUGAUCAUGGACAGUUUUUGAGAAGGGAAAGAAAACUCAAGGGAGACAAACACCAACACAUCUCAGGAACAAAAAAGACAGAGGUUUGAGAAAAGUGUUCUUUCCUUUACUUUCUAGUUCUGCUUAUUAUUUGUUGCUGUUUUGGUGUUUGGGUUUUUUUUUUUAUGAAACAAUGCAUUUCUUUUAUCUUCCCCUCUUCCUUUUCAUCUUCUUUCUUAAAUGUCUCAUUAGUUUCUGCUGUGGAGUUGUGCAAGAUGAAACGUUGUCAGCCUGUGCUGAUGAAUACCUCUCUGCAAACCUUACAUAAUCCAUCCCAGCCCCAAAUCAGAUGCUUCCUGCAGGUGGAAUGCUUGGGCUGGCUGCAUGGUAGAGGCCUGAGGAUGGUUCAGGAAAAUGUCCAUGGUGGAGCCAGAGGAGGCCUUGGGGGCUGCAGUGGUGAAGGCCUAAAUUUCCAAAUAUUUCAGUUUUCCUCGCUCUGUCCCGAGUGCCAGAGCAAAGGGACCUGCUUUUCUCUUCCCCGUUUCUCCCACUAG